This 447-nucleotide ribosomal RNA is filed under the name uncultured bacterium. RNAcentral describes it as "bacterial SSU rRNA". It matches the Rfam family "Bacterial small subunit ribosomal RNA", at positions 355 to 825 of the family's 1533-position model. The record is from RNAcentral.
UCGGGAAUUUUGGGCAAUGGGCGAAAGCCUGACCCAGCAACGCCGCGUGAAGGAUGAAGUAUUUCGGUAUGUAAACUUCGAAAGAAUAGGAAGAAUAAAUGACGGUACUAUUUAUAAGGUCCGGCUAACUACGUGCCAGCAGCCGCGGUAAUACGUAGGGACCAAGCGUUGUUCGGAUUUACUGGGCGUAAAGGGCGCGUAGGCGGCUCUGUAAGUCACUUGUGAAAUCUCUGAGCUUAACCUGGAAGGGUCGGUUGAUACUGUCGAGCUAGAGUGUAGAAGAGGCAACUGGAAUUCCGUGUGUAGCGGUGAAAUGCGUAGAUAUACGGAGGAACACCUGCGGCGAAGGCGGGUUGCUGGGCUAACACUGACGCUGAGGCGCGAAAGCUAGGGUAGCAAACGGGAUUAGAUACCCACGUAGUCCCUGAGCGGGCUGGCAAGGCGCAU